This 356-nucleotide ribosomal RNA is filed under the name Escherichia coli. Its description in RNAcentral is "bacterial SSU rRNA". It matches the Rfam family "Bacterial small subunit ribosomal RNA", at positions 199 to 550 of the family's 1533-position model. Lineage: Bacteria; Pseudomonadati; Pseudomonadota; Gammaproteobacteria; Enterobacterales; Enterobacteriaceae. The record is from RNAcentral.
ACCUUCGGGCCUCUUGCCAUCGGAUGUGCCCAGAUGGGAUUAGCUAGUAGGUGGGGUAAAGGCUCACCUAGGCGACGAUCCCUAGCUGGUCUGAGAGGAUGACCAGCCACACUGGAACUGAGACACGGUCCAGACUCCUACGGGAGGCAGCAGUGGGGAAUAUUGCACAAUGGGCGCAAGCCUGAUGCAGCCAUGCCGCGUGUAUGAAGAAGGCCUUCGGGUUGUAAAGUACUUUCAGCGGGGAGGAAGGGAGUAAAGUUAAUACCUUUGCUCAUUGACGUUACCCGCAGAAGAAGCACCGGCUAACUCCGUGCCAGCAGCCGCGGUAAUACGGAGGGUGCAAGCGUUAAUCGGAA